AUUUAUCUUGGUGUAUAUAGCACAUAAAUUUUUGAUAUUUAAAGAAUGUUAAUAGAUAAAUU
This 62-nucleotide transfer RNA is filed under the name Gondogeneia antarctica. RNAcentral's name for it is "tRNA-Gln". The record is from RNAcentral. Lineage: Eukaryota; Metazoa; Arthropoda; Malacostraca; Amphipoda; Pontogeneiidae.